RNAcentral lists this ribosomal RNA (337 nucleotides) under uncultured Pseudomonadota bacterium. Its description in RNAcentral is "bacterial SSU rRNA". It matches the Rfam family "Bacterial small subunit ribosomal RNA", at positions 8 to 347 of the family's 1533-position model. Lineage: Bacteria; Pseudomonadati; Pseudomonadota. The record is from RNAcentral.
AGAGUUUGAUCAUGGCUCAGAUUGAACGCUGGCGGCAUGCCUUACACAUGCAAGUCGAACGGCAGCGCGGGGGCAACCCUGGCGGCGAGUGGCGAACGGGUGAGUAAUAUAUCGGAACGUGCCCUGGAGUGGGGGAUAACGCAGCGAAAGUUGCGCUAAUACCGCAUACGAUCUAAGGAUGAAAGUGGGGGACCGCAAGACCUCAUGCUCCUGGAGCGGCCGAUAUCUGAUUAGCUAGUUGGUGGGGUAAGAGCCCACCAAGGCGACGAUCAGUAGCUGGUCUGAGAGGACGACCAGCCACACUGGGACUGAGACACGGCCCAGACUCCUACGGGAG